This 253-nucleotide ribosomal RNA is filed under the name uncultured bacterium. Its description in RNAcentral is "partial 16S ribosomal RNA". It matches the Rfam family "Bacterial small subunit ribosomal RNA", at positions 524 to 776 of the family's 1533-position model. The record is from RNAcentral.
UACGUAGGGUGCGAUCGUUAAUCGGAAUUACUGGGCGUAAAGCGUGCGCAGGCGGUUUUGUAAGCCAGAUGUGAAAGCCCCGGGCUUAACCUGGGAAUGGCAUUUGGGACUGCAAGGCUGGAGUGUGGCAGAGGAGACUGGAAUUCCUGGUGUAGCAGUGAAAUGCGUAGAUAUCAGGAGGAACACCGAUGGCGAAGGCAGGUCUCUGGGCUGACACUGACGCUCAUGCACGAAAGCGUGGGGAGCAAACAGG